RNAcentral lists this ribosomal RNA (923 nucleotides) under uncultured Bacteroidota bacterium. RNAcentral describes it as "bacterial SSU rRNA". It matches the Rfam family "Bacterial small subunit ribosomal RNA", at positions 1 to 916 of the family's 1533-position model. The record is from RNAcentral. Lineage: Bacteria; Pseudomonadati; Bacteroidota.
GGAUCCAGACUUUGAUAUGGCUCAGGAUGAACGCUAGCUACAGGCUUAACACAUGCAAGUCGAGGGGAAACGAUAUUGGAAGCUUGCUUCCGAUAGGCGUCGACCGGCGCACGGGUGAGUAACGCGUAUCCAACCUGCCCAUCACUUGGGGAUAACCUUGCGAAAGUAAGACUAAUACCCAAUGAUAUCUCUAGAAGACAUCUGAAGGAGAUUAAAGAUUCAUCGGUGAUGGAUGGGGAUGCGUCUGAUUAGCUUGUUGGCGGGGUAACGGCCCACCAAGGCGACGAUCAGUAGGGGUUCUGAGAGGAAGGUCCCCCACAUUGGAACUGAGACACGGUCCGAACUCCUACGGGAGGCAGCAGUGAGGAAUAUUGGUCAAUGGGCGAGAGCCUGAACCAGCCAAGUAGCGUGCAGGAUGACGGCCCUAUGGGUUGUAAACUGCUUUUAUAAGGGAAUAAAGUGAGCCUCGUGAGGCUUUUUGCAUGUACCUUAUGAAUAAGGACCGGCUAAUUCCGUGCCAGCAGCCGCGGUAAUACGGAAGGUCCGGGCGUUAUCCGGAUUUAUUGGGUUUAAAGGGAGCGUAGGCCGGAGAUUAAGCGUGUUGUGAAAUGUAGAUGCUCAACAUCUGCACUGCAGCGCGAACUGGUUUCCUUGAGUACGCACAAAGUGGGCGGAAUUCGUGGUGUAGCGGUGAAAUGCUUAGAUAUCACGAAGAACUCCGAUUGCGAAGGCAGCUCACUGGAGCGCAACUGACGCUGAAGCUCGAAAGUGCGGGUAUCGAACAGGAUUAGAUACCCUGGUAGUCCGCACGGUAAACGAUGGAUGCCCGCUGUUGGUCUGAAUAGGUCAGCGGCCAAGCGAAAGCAUUAGGCAUCCCACCUGGGGAGUACGCCGGCAACGGUGCAACUCAGAGGAAUUGACGG